Molecule: ribosomal RNA, 305 nt
Filed under: uncultured bacterium
Lineage: Bacteria
Description: bacterial SSU rRNA
Rfam family: Bacterial small subunit ribosomal RNA
Source: RNAcentral
CUUUGCCUACGGGGCGCAGCAGUAGGGAAUUUUCGUCAAUGGGCGCAAGCCUGAACGAGCAAUGCCGCGUGAACGAGGAAGGUCUUCGGAUCGUAAAGUUCUGUUGAAGGGGAAAAAGAGCGGAGAGAGGAAAUGAACUCCGAUUGAUAUUACCCUUCGAGGAAGUCACGGCUAACUACGUGCCAGCAGCCGCGGUAAUACGUAGGUGGCGAGCGUUAUCCGGAAUGAUUGGGCGUAACGGGUGCGUAGGCGGCCUGCUAAGUCUGGAGAGAGAGGUACCGGCUCAACCGGUACAGGCUCUGGAA